RNAcentral lists this long non-coding RNA (1291 nucleotides) under Salvia miltiorrhiza (redroot sage). RNAcentral describes it as "long non-coding RNA (SMIL_LNC011499)". The record is from RNAcentral. Lineage: Eukaryota; Viridiplantae; Streptophyta; Magnoliopsida; Lamiales; Lamiaceae.
AAAGUACAAAUUCUCAUAAAUAAAAGUAACAAUUAUCGUGAACAAAUGUAAUUAUUUAGAAACAUUACAUUUAGUUAUUUUAUCAAAUAAUUAUUAUUAUAAUAAAAAAUAAUUAUUGACAUGAAGAAAUGUAAUAUUUUAAAAUAUUACAUUUUUCACAAAAAUAUAUAAAAAAAAAUACAAAAGAAAAACAAAAAAUAAAGAAAAUACCGAAAGAAUAAAAAAACCAAAAUAUAUUAAAAAAUGCAAAAGAAAAAUAGUAAAAUUUAAAAAUAAUGCAAAGAAAAAAAAAUAUUGUAAAGAAAAAGAAUAUAUAUAUAAAGAUAAAAAAAUAAAGAAAACAGAAAAAGGAAAAAAAAUGUAAAAAAAAAAAGAAAGAAAUAAAAAUAGAAAAAAAAAACAAACAAAAAACGCAAAAUGGGGGCAACAGGAUUAGAAAUCCUGACCUUGGGGAGAAAGAGUAGUGGUAACUGUUACCACAUCAUAAGUUUGAAGAUCAUUACUAUAACUUAGGCCCUGUUUGAAAACUUGGUUGCGAAAUGGCAAGUUACAAAAACUCAAGGAAAUGUAACAAGAGUUGGGCUGGUUAUAUUGUAUUGACUGUGUAUUUGGUAGCAGAGGUUUAAAAGCGUGAAAAUAGAGUGCAGUUGUUUGGUAAUUACUGCUGAAAUCUUGAAAAACGCGUGAAAUGUCCAAUAUAUCCUUGUUAUAUUUACACCCCUCGACACCUCAAAAUGAAACUGCAGAGGUUUUCUUUAUUUUGAUGUCGUAAUUCAGGAAGCUUUUGGUUGAGAAAAUGACAAAAUGUAACCAGCCCAACUCAAGACAAAACUCUUGCUCAAGAAGGAUAAUUAUCGGCUAAUCAAGAAAAACUCUUGCUUGCCUCGAAAAAAGAAAAAGAAAAAAAGAGAGAGAAAAAACUCUUGCUUAAGAUUAUCAUUCCAAACCUCCCUAAUUUGAACGGAAUCAUCUCUUUGGCAAGCGGUAGUGUUGAAUAUUGCAGGGAAUUGGGAGUGGUGGUGCACGGUUGUGGUGUUUGGCAGGCGGCAGUGACGUUUGGCAUGCAGCGGUGGUGGUGAAAUAAAAUUGUAAUCAGGCGAUGGGAGUGGUGAUGUUUGGCAAGCGGUGGUGGUGAACCGUUGUGGUCUUUGGCAGGCGGCGGCGGUGGUGAAAUAAAAUUGGAAUCAAGCGACGGGAAUGGUGAUGUUUGGCAAGCGGUGGUCGUGAAAUAUUGCAGGGAAUUGGGGGUGGUGGUGAACGGUGGUGGCGUUUGGCAGGCAGUGGAAUAAAG